Molecule: ribosomal RNA, 452 nt
Filed under: uncultured bacterium
Lineage: Bacteria
Description: partial 16S ribosomal RNA
Rfam family: Bacterial small subunit ribosomal RNA
Source: RNAcentral
GUCGAGAAUCUUCCACAAUGGACGAAAGUCUGAUGGAGCGACGCCGCGUGAGUGAUGAAGGCCCUACGGGUUGUAAAACUCUGUCAGGAGAGAAGAAUCGCCGGGGUGCCAAUACCACCCUGGUCUGACGUUAUCUCCAGAGGAAGCUCCGGCUAACUCCGUGCCAGCAGCCGCGGUAAUACGGGGGGAGCAAGCGUUGUCCGGAAUUAUUGGGCGUAAAGGGCGUGUAGGCGGUCUGGUCAGUCGAAUGUGAAAUCCCACGGCUCAACCGUGGAAUUGCGUUCGAUACUGCCUGGCUUGAGUAUGUGAGAGGUGUGCGGAAUUCCUGGUGUAGCGGUGGAAUGCGUAGAUAUCAGGAAGAACACCGAUGGCGAAGGCAGCACACUGGCGCAAUACUGACGCUGAGGCGCGAAAGCGUGGGGAGCAAACAGGAUUAGAAACCCCUGUAGUCC